Long non-coding RNA from Canis lupus familiaris (dog), 663 nucleotides. RefSeq lists it as uncharacterized. The transcript has 2 exons. NCBI's taxonomy places the organism in Eukaryota, Metazoa, Chordata, Mammalia, Carnivora, Canidae. The record is from RefSeq and is a predicted model, not a curated record.
AGGGCUCGUCCUACGGAGCGCGAGGAGGCCCAGCGCGCUCCUGCGCCGCCUGCUUGGCUCCCGCGGCGCUCGAGCUCCGCAGUCAGUGUCAACCUAGGUCAGCAGCGCUGCGCUGUGACUUUCUGUCGCCCCUGCCAACUGGGCCUUCCUGCGCCGCAUGCCCUCCCUUCUCGUUUCAGUCACUCUAAAGGUCGUUUUGGAGGCGAUCCUGGUUUGUUGGGAAACGAAAAGCCAGCACCUUUUCGAUCGUCCCCUAAAUUCGUAAUCCCGCGCGAAUCAGGAUUCAGGAGGUGCAUUUAAUACGCCCACGGUGUGCCCGACCCAGGACCGGAAUGUAGUGGUGAGAACCGAGCCUUGGAGAAAUCCCGCCUGAUUUUGGCCUGCAGGACGGGCGGAGCUAGAGGGGGCAUCCCAGAGCCCUGGAACCCGGCUUCAACCAGGGGCAGGCAACAUUUUGAAUUUUGCACAUGUCAGCCAAACCCCUACUACCUCCAUUUCAAAAUGCAAAUAUAUGGAAUACGGCUGCGUAUCAUCAGUCUCUUUUUCUUAACUUCCUCUCCUGGCAAGUCUCCAAGCCAUCAGCAUUCAGGCAUCUGAUCGGCGCCCGGACGGUUCACUAUGGAUACGUAGUGAACAGAUAAUGUGAGAAGAGAGAGCGGGGGG